Molecule: long non-coding RNA, 3431 nt
Organism: Parus major (Great Tit)
Lineage: Eukaryota; Metazoa; Chordata; Aves; Passeriformes; Paridae
Exons: 2
Source: RefSeq, a predicted model, not a curated record
CCUGUAAUUCAGUUAAAAAACCAUUAGUUUCUGUCUAAUAGAGAUAGUGACAAGCAUUAGUCUAGGAAUGGAUUGCUUUAAAGGCAGCAUUGUCAUCUCUGAUGCCCCAGGUGACAGCAAAAUCCUAGGGUUUAUUUCACAGGUGGUCACUAACUAGAAUUUCUUAAUCUGCCAUGAGGAAGCCUUCAAUAGGAAACCUAGAGGGGCGUUAUAUAAUCACCUCUAAUUUGGGUGAUACAGUUCUGUGUUGGUCUUUGAAAUAUAUCAGAUUAUUCUACACUUGAGACUGUGCAGGAGUCUAGCAGACAAUUUCUGUCCAGGGACAAUACCAGCUUUUUGUGUUCUUGAAGGAGGAUGAUAAAGCAAAAAAUCCAAAUACUGUUAAUGCUUGUUUAUCUUUCACUCAUUACAUAGAAGAGGAAACAAACUUACAUUGUAAGGCUUGAUUGUCUGACUUAAAAUAUCUAAAACAGAACAAAAAAGUAUACAAGUGAGUGGCUGUCCUGGGCUGACCUCUGUGAUGCUUGCAUCCCCAACUGUCCAUUCUGUUUAUGCUGGAUAUUAAGUUCUGCACCUUUAAGGGCGCGCAAGGCGAGCGCAAGGGGAGGGAAAAAACAAACACGCAGUUUGUUUUGAGAAACAGUGUUUGCCGGCACGCAGUCUGCUCUGGCCUGUGCUGUCUGCAGCGUCCUCAGACAACGGACAGCGCUCCUUUGCUUUCACUUUUUAGCUAGCUGAGACAGAGAAACUCCCUGGUGUUUUCCUUUUUCCUCGGAUCUUUCCAAGCCUGCUCUGGACUGCAAACCCAGACAAAGCCUGGGAGCUCCCAGCUGUGGCUCAGCGGGGCCUGGGCCUCGGCACUUUCCAGCGCCGGAGGGACCGAGAAGAGACUGAGCUGCAGCCCACGGCAAGGACUUUCUGAAUUUGCCGUCUCUUCCAACAGCGAGAGGUUUUAUUAAGCCUGAACUCACCAGGAGGCCUUGCUGUCUCCCUGAACAUGAUGUCCAGAAUGUGCCUGUCAUUUCCUGUGGCUCUGGUGAUGUCAACCCCAAAGAAAAUGUGUGAGUAUGUGCCCGUACACUCAAGCACCAGUGUACAAGCAAAGAAAUCCCUGGUGAAAGCUCUUUACAAACAAAGCAAAAAUGUGGACUAAAAGAUAAGCUGCAAAAGGAUGCUGCCUGGUCAAUGCACAAGCACAUACCAAUGGAGUUCUCCCUGGAGCACAGCUUGCACUUCUGCACCAUCGUGGCGCUUCCUCGGCCUCCUUUCAGGGGAGCACUGUCCUAAAAUGCAAGAUAAGAAAUGCAAGACAUUUUUAACCACUUCAUCUGAGCCACUGGAAACCUCUGCAAAGGUGAGGUAGUUUUUACAAUGAUCUUCAGCUUUUUUAAAAUACUGCAACAAGGCAGCUAUUCCUUUUAACUACAAAGAUUAAUAACUCAACACGCUGCAAUUAUCAAAGAGUAAUCUGUUCUAGAUUUUAAAUAGGAAAAAUAGAUACUUUUGUCUUAACCAUAUAAGCAUGCUCUACUAAUUCUUCAAAAGACAUUCUUACCAUUCAGCUGUAUGCUACAAAAAGGGAUGAUUAUUGUUAAGAACAGACAAGUAUCCCUAACAAAUUUUAUCCUGCUUCUUCAGCUUCCAAAUGUUGAUUUAGCAUGCUUACAUCAUCUUGAUUUACCUAACCUACUCCAAAAGGAUUCCAUCAGCAUCAGAGAACUAUGCUACAGGCAUAAUCUUAUUUUGAUACCACCUCAAAAUUUCUUUUGAAAUUAAAUAUUUACAGAAAAGUGUUUUCAAAAACAGGUGUAAUACUUUGUUACCAACGGUCAUCAUUGCCAAUAACAGUCUCCAAAUAUUUAUUUUAAUAUGGAACACGACAAUUUUCUACAUGCAUAUUGCUACUGAAAAACGAUCUCAUCUAGAGAGUAAGCUGUCACAUUCUUCAUGCGGAUACAUAUGUAAGAGGCAGGUUUCUCUGCUCAUUUUUGCUCAGAGGUAGGUUAUGAGGGGCACACGCACCAUCAGCCGCAGGUACUGCCACUUUUCAGAGACUUCACCGCAGUUCCCGCAUUUCAGCUGGAUAACACAAAUCGGAAGGUUGAAAGUAGUCAAUAAUCAGGGAUUUGCGCCGCUCCCAGCCCCGGCCCCUCGGCCCCGCACCUUGAGGUACCAUCGGAAGUCCUGGCCCUCGGCCCGCAGCCGGGUGAUGUUCUCCAGCGUGGCGCGGAGCUGCAGCCCGAUCCUCUGCAAGGCAAGCGGCGGAGCGCCGUCAGCCCCGGCCGGCCCGCCUCCCCCCUACCCUCAUGCAGGGCUCCGGCCAAAGCUCCCCUCUACUCCCAUGGCCCGCGGGGCACCGGCCAAAGCUCUCGCCUACCCCCAUGGCCGCGCGGAGUCUGUGGAAUUCCCCGCUCCCCGCAGCCGUGUCCUCAAGAUGGCUGCUCCGCGCGCCGUGCCCGGCCGAGCCGGCGCGAAACCGCGUCUGCCCUCAGCCGAGAUGGCGGCCGCCACUGCCCCUCCGCGCGGAACGGCGGGCGGUGUCUGUGGGGAAGGGUAGCGGGAGGCACCGGCGUUUUCAACAUUACACGUCAAUUAAAAACGGGCAAUUUUUUUUUUUUUUUUUAAUCACGUCGUUUUCUUAGACAACAGAAAUGUGUUAAGAGAAAGCAAAAGCGUGGUUUGGCAGCACUGCCAUGGGGUCCACCCUCAGGGCCUGAGGGGGUCCCCUCAAAGUCUUAAACUAAUGCCACACAACAGAUCUGCUAGUCUAGAACUGAACUGAAUACAUUGUACGUUGCUCUUCACCUUCUCCGAAACUGAAAGGGACAAUAAGUGAAGCUCCUGGAUGGCUGCCAGGUUGUUUACUCUGGAGGCAAGCAAGUAAGCCCAGGCUGGGAGAAAGGGGAGCAGUGACUGCUAAAAGCAGUUAUCCUGUGCAGAGUCAGAAUUUGUUCUUGCCAACAGAAUACCCAGCUCGGGAUAGAAAUAAAAGUUUGCCUUGACAUCUGGCAAAAGCUUCCUUUCAGAGCCAAGCCUCAUUCCUUUUUCUACUGCUGUGCGCUUGAAAUAUUGUUAUUUGGCCAACAGAAUAUGCAGCUCAAAACAGUAACGAAGUCUUUCCUUUACAGCCGGCUGAAAUUUCAUUUCAGAGCCAAGCUUCAAACCUUGUUCUAGUGCUGUGCACUGCGGGUAUUGCUGGUAUUGUCUGGGAAGCAGAAAGUGCAGCUCCAAACAGCGGAAGUUUAAUUGCCAAAGAAAUGACCUUCUCUACUCAACUGUACAAAAGAAGGGAAAAUCUGAAUGCACUGUUAUAAAAGUGUUAAAAGUCAGUCUCCCACCACAGUUUAAAAACACAAAUCAAACCUGUUUUAUUAGUUCAUUAACAGUUUGUAACAACAACAAUCAAAAAAAAAAUUAAAAUACAAAAAAAU